AUUGAACGCUGGCGGCAGGCCUAACACAUGCAAGUCGAGCGGACGAAGGGAGCUUGCGCCUGGAUUCAGCGGCGGACGGGCGAGUAAUGCCUAGGAAUCUGACUGGCCGUGGGGGAUAACGUCCGGAAACGGGCGCUAAUACCGCACACGUCCUGAGGGAGAAAGUGGGGGAUCUUUGGUCCACACGCGAUUAGAUGAGCCUAGUUCGGAGUAGCUAGUUGGUGGGGUAAAGGCGUACCAAGGCGACGAUCCGUAACUGGUCUGAGAGGAUGAUCAGCCACACUGGAACUGAGACACGGUCCAGACUCCUACGGGAGGCAGCAGUGGGGAAUCUUCGACAAUGGGCGAAAGCCUGAUCCAGCCAUGCCGCGUGUGUGAAGAAGGUCUUCGGAUUGUAAAGCUCUUUAAGUUGGGAGGAAGGACAGUAAGUUAAUACCUUCCUGUUUUGACGUUACCAACAGAAUAAGCACCGGCUAACUUCGUG
This 484-nucleotide ribosomal RNA is filed under the name uncultured bacterium. RNAcentral describes it as "partial 16S ribosomal RNA". It matches the Rfam family "Bacterial small subunit ribosomal RNA", at positions 30 to 507 of the family's 1533-position model. The record is from RNAcentral.